CUUGGUUGCUCACAAGCAGGUCAAGUUCAUUCUUAUAUAAUCUAAAAGUAAAUUCAAAUAUCAAAUAAUUUUUCAAGAAUAUUAAUUGAGUAAAAGGUUUGUCAUAAAUUCUGAUAGUGUUUUCAAGAUAACUCAAAGUGCCACCAGAAUUUUUUUGUUCCAAGGAGGGCCUAUUUCAUCUUUGAUCAUAUAAGAAACUUUUUCCUUCAUAUUGACUAGUUCAUUCUUGAAGAUGUUGAAGUGCAAGUAAUUUUUCCAAAUGCCUGUUCUAUAAUAAGCCGUCUCUAAAGACUUAUUUUUUUUUCAUCUUGUUAUUAAUUAUGAAACUGACUAUUUUUCGAACAAUUUUUAUCCUAAGUUCCAGCAGACAGAUUUUUGUUAGAAAUAUUACUGAUUCAAUAAAAUCUUUUCAUAAUGGAGAAACGUAGUAAAGAAAGGAGGUGAUUUCGUUUUUUUUAAUUCUUCUCUAUCUGCUUCAAAAUAGUAAACUAUAUCAGUUGUAAAGUUAUUGGAUGUCUCUUCAUUCUAUAUUUGAUGAUGAUACUACAACAUCAGGAAAAACCUUUGAGAAUCAAUUUGGUCUUCAGAUCUAAUGAGAUAACUCAAUAAAUUAUAAGUGAAAAAAAAAUUAUUAAGAAGUUAACUUUGGAAAUACUGGCAACACAUCUUUCUUUUAUCUAAGAUGUCAAAAUCUAUUUUUAUUAUUCCCCAAAAUAUUGAUGCUUCAAUUGAGAAUGAGGAUCAGUGUAAGGACACAAAUUCUAACAUCGUCAAAGGUGUGAAUACCGAUAAUGGGGAAUUCUUCUCAACUUGAGCUAUUACUGUAAAUGCAGGUUUUAACUUCAUGGUUUUUUUCAAAUUCGCUCCAGAAAUUAUCCAAGCUCAUAUUUCAGUUUCAAAUUUUAUGUAGUGUUGUUUCCGUGCACAAAAAGGUAACAGCGCCACUUGAUCUGUUCUCAGAUGCCAUACUUCUCAAGAAUGAGAUGGAACGACUUUGGGCACCUACAACUGUCAAAAAAUAAGAUUGUAUAUUGUUUACCAAAUAACAACUGGUGAUUUUCAAGAAGCCAUCUUCGUUUAUCUAAUCGACUUUAGCAAUCUGUUGUCCUUCAUUAUCUACGUAAUCUGUAUCGAUAUUGACGAAUGGUGAAAUAGACUCCCUAUAAAUUUUUAGUCCCCAUAUUUAUUUUUAUUUUUUAAGUACUCGAAAUGAGUUUUUCAGGGAAGAGGUUGAAAUAAUGUGUUUGAAAGGGGAAGUUAUGAAGAUAUUUCAUAAAUGGAGAAUUCCCCAUUCAUGAAACAAGACAAGAAGUCGUAGGAAAAGCUUAUUUUCUCCUUUGUAAAUUGUUUUGAACAUAUUCAAAAUGAAAUAACAAUUGUACUUGAGUAUUGUUGCUCAUUUUUUCAAACGAAUAAGUGGUGAAUGUUUGUGCUAAUGCUACUCUUCAUCGUACAAGGUACACUACAUAUUUUUGAAGUUGAACUAUAAAGUAAAUACAUUAUAGCUGAAACUCGCAUGUAAGUAUUAAAUCAAUAAUCAUCAGUUUUGUUAUUAAAUGAAAAUUUUUCAGGUUACUACUUCCUCAGAAUUAAAAGCUGAAAGCUCUUUACUAUAUGUGUCCGGAAAAAAUAUAUUGAUGAAAUAGUAAAAUAAAAUGUAGUAAUUCAUUUGGAUAUGUCAGAAUAACAGAAGUUCAUUCAAUUUGAGACAGGAAAAUUUAGUUCGACAUACACAUUAUGGGAAACGCUAUUUUAUCUCUGUGGAGCUUUUCAAUGUAUAAUCAAUGAAAUGCACGAGGGUGGUACACAAAAGAGGCCACCUAACACUGAAUGCCUAAUCCUCUAAGGUAUAUAUUACCUACUAUCAAAAGGAAGACUGCCGAAGAAUUAGAUUGUCAAGAAAUGCACUCAUGGACAUAAGAAUGGGAUAUUUUCCAUAAUAAGUUGAAAAUGAUUCCUUAAUACUGAUGUUCAAUUACUUAAUCUUGUAUUGUUGAUAAUUGUGUAUUAUAUGAAUGGACUGAACCUUAAAUUAUUUCAGUCUGAAAUAGUGUUCAUUUUGAUAGUCAGCUUCCAAGUUCAGUUAGUUCUAAAUAGCAGCUGAGCAAGUUAGUAUCCCUGUACAUAGUGAAUGAAUGGAAGUAUUCAAGUUGUUACUAAUUGCUGAGAUGAGUACUUUAGUAUUAACUGAACUGAACAAAAAUUUUAUCAAACGAAUCAUUAACUAAAAAAACUUUACCAACUCUUCGAAAGUACUUGUGAAUUUUAAAUUGAAUCAAAAUUGGAUUGCAUCUAUAGAAAAUAUUUAUUAUGAAAUCUUUCGCUUGAAUUGGAACAAUCAAAUCAUUCCAGCCAUCCCUUUUAUUGACAGAGUAAAAAUAUAUUUUGGAGUAUCGCCCGAUCAUCGGUAUUUUAUUUAUCAUACACAUUUCAAUUAUAUGUAAGAUAUGAAAUCAUCUUAGUUUAUUUAUAAUUACCAUUGAAUUGCAAAACUCUGUUUUGUAUUAUUUUAUUAAUUAUUAUAAUGAAAGAAUUUAUAACUAUACUUGAAUAAAUCGAUUUCGAAA
Molecule: long non-coding RNA, 2567 nt
Organism: Coccinella septempunctata (seven-spotted ladybird)
Lineage: Eukaryota; Metazoa; Arthropoda; Insecta; Coleoptera; Coccinellidae
Exons: 2
Source: RefSeq, a predicted model, not a curated record